UGUAGCGAAUCCUGUGUGUUGCGUCCUUGUUUGCAGUGGAUCGAAACCGCCGAAGCUCAAGGCCAUGCCACUGUCUUCGUUGCCAAAUUCUUUGGCCGUGCUGACCUCAUGUCCUUCGUUUCCAACGUUCCAGAAAAUCAAAGACCUGGUAAAUUUUAUUUUAAUUUCUUUUAACUCUUUCUACAGUUUUCUUCGCCCUACCUUAUACUUCUUUCCGUGUUGCCUAUGCAGCUCUGUUUCAGUCCCUGCUGUUCGAAGCCUGCGGGAGAACGGUCAACCCUGUCAACGGUGCUGUGGGCCUUCUCUGGACCGGAAACUGGCACGUCUGCCAGGCGGCCGUGGAGACCGUACUCCGCGGCGGCACGCUCAGGACCAUGCCGGAGCUCAUGGACCUG
This 395-nucleotide long non-coding RNA is filed under the name Phaseolus vulgaris (common bean). RNAcentral's name for it is "long non-coding RNA (PVUL_LNC004208)". Lineage: Eukaryota; Viridiplantae; Streptophyta; Magnoliopsida; Fabales; Fabaceae. The record is from RNAcentral.